Molecule: non-coding RNA, 1496 nt
Organism: Podarcis muralis (Common wall lizard)
Lineage: Eukaryota; Metazoa; Chordata; Lepidosauria; Squamata; Lacertidae
Source: RefSeq, a predicted model, not a curated record
CAAGAUGGAUAAAGACACCUGCAAAAAAAGGAAGACGCAACAACAACAAAAGCAACACAGAGAUGACUUCCUGCCUGACGUCUCAUUGAAACUACCAGCUGGAUCCAAAUGUUGGGCUGCGAUAGCGACUGACCAAACAUAACUGCAGCAGUCCUGGACAGUAGCUGGAAGAGCUGAGUGACAGCUGUGACAAGAGGACAUACGUGACUAACAUCAACAAUGCUUCUAGAUUCAGAUGUAUGUCGAGAUCAUUUGAGGAGAAGUUAUACAGAACCUGGAAAAGACUAUUUUUCCUGCUUACACAGCCAACAGCACUGCCGCAGGAUGCAGCUGUAGGACAUCUAGAGAACUUUCCCAAAUAGCCAAAUGUUGUUUCUAUGGAUGCUUCAAAACUUUAUGGUGAUGCUGUCAUCUGUUUCCAGGUAAUGCAUGCUUAUUGUGCUACAUGUCUCACUUUUCUUUCACGGAGCUCAAAGCAGCAUUCUAGGCUCCACACCUCCAUUUUAUCAUCAGGACAAUCCCGUGAGGCAAAACGAGUGACCCAAAGGCAUGCAGUGAGCUUCAUGGCCAACUGAAUCUCCCUCAUCCUACUUACUACCCCUGAUGCCUUAAGCACCCUCAUUUAGCAUUGCCCACUCUCAUCUUUGACUGAAUCCUUUAAAAAUAACAGAUAACUUACUUGGUACUGAAUGGAACUCAGUUUUUGCAGUCUUCAUGUUUUAUUCUAUUUUUUGUAAUUUGGAGGGUAGGGGCUUCAGAAGGUACAAAAGUGUUUUCUUAGGAGAGAAGAGGGAAGCUAUCUGUGUUGCCUUGGCUAUUGAACCACCUUUGAUUUGGAUUUCGCCACUUUUUUGGGGGGGGUGUGCUCCCCUGGGUGUGCAAAAACUUCUGGUUUGUACAUUGGGGGCCCUUUUUGAUACCAAUGUGGUUUUCAUGGGACCAUUGUAGUUGUUAUUAGGAUGAUGCUGAAAAAUAUGACAAGGAGAUAAAAGUAAACUUCAUCUCUGGGGUGAAUUCAUGUUUUCAAAAUGAUGCUGUUCUUGCCCUUUAAAAGGACUUGAACUUAAAUUGUUUUAAUAGAGCACAACUGAGGGAACUCUCCGACUCAGGAGACUGCACCAAAUGGAACAUUGGCUGGUCUUUUCUGAAGUAUAUCCAUUUAUAGCAUUCCCACUACAAGUUAGUUGUUUACAUGAAAAUACUUUCAAAUAACCAGAGGUGUGAAUAUUUACUCCUGUCAAAGUGACUAUGGCUGUUUCCAGGCAAAGCUACUGAACCUUUAAAGGAAUUGCACUGAAUUUUCUCUUUAGGAAUAGAGAUAAAGACAGCAACUGAAAGGGGUAAAUACCAGAAAUAGGAAACUGGGUUAAUGGAUGGACUGGUAAGAUGGGAGUCAGAAGCACCCUUUUAGAAAAUUAUCUUAGAAGGAUGUUAAUUUUUGUGAUAGAAAUAUGAAUAUAAGUCUACUGGCAUAAGCAAAACCAACAAAAAGGGUG